UACCUGGUUGAUCCUGCCAGUAGUCAUAUGCUUGUCUCAAAGAUUAAGCCAUGCAAGUCUAAGUACGAGCUCUCGUACAGUGAAACUGCGAAUGGCUCAUUAAAUCAGUUAUGGUUCAUUUGAUCGUACAGUUUACUUGGAUAACUGUGGUAAUUCUAGAGCUAAUACAUGCGAGAAGCGCCGACCUCGCGGGAGGCGUGCAUUUAUCAGACCAAAAACCGGCCGCGUCUUCGGGCGCGUUCGCCUUGGUGACUCUGGAUAACUUUGCGGAUCGCACGGUCUAGCACCGGCGACGGAUCAUUCAAGUGUCUGCCCUAUCAACUUUCGUCGGUACGGUAUUUGCCUACCGAGGUUCUUACGGGUGACGGGGAAUCAGGGUUCGAUUCCGGAGAGGGAGCCUGAGAAACGGCUACCACAUCCAAGGAAGGCAGCAGGCGCGCAAAUUACCCAUUCCCGACGCGGGGAGGUAGUGACGAAAAAUAACAAUGCAGGACUCGUUCGAGGCCCUGUAAUUGGAAUGAGUACACUUUAAAAGCUUUAACGAGUAUCCAUUG
Molecule: non-coding RNA, 554 nt
Organism: Ciona savignyi (Pacific transparent sea squirt)
Lineage: Eukaryota; Metazoa; Chordata; Ascidiacea; Phlebobranchia; Cionidae
Source: Rfam